This 23-nucleotide non-coding RNA is filed under the name Arabidopsis thaliana (thale cress). The record is from RNAcentral. Lineage: Eukaryota; Viridiplantae; Streptophyta; Magnoliopsida; Brassicales; Brassicaceae.
GAAAAUGAUGUUGCUUCCAAAUU